Molecule: ribosomal RNA, 262 nt
Filed under: uncultured bacterium
Lineage: Bacteria
Description: partial 16S ribosomal RNA
Rfam family: Bacterial small subunit ribosomal RNA
Source: RNAcentral
GCCGCGGUAAUACGGAGGGUGCGAGCGUUGUCCGGAAUCACUGGGCGUAAAGGGCGCGUAGGCGGCGCGGUAAGUCCGUGGUGAAAGCCUCCAGCUCAACUGGAGAACUGCCAUGGAUACUGGCGGGCUUGAGUACAGACGAGGUUGGCGGAAUUGAAGAUGUAGCGGUGAAAUGCAUAGAUAUCUUCAAGAACACCGAUUGCGUAGGCAGCUAACUAGGCUGUAACUGACGCUGAGGCACGAAAGCGUGGGGAGCGAACAG